Molecule: ribosomal RNA, 433 nt
Filed under: uncultured bacterium
Lineage: Bacteria
Description: partial 16S ribosomal RNA
Rfam family: Bacterial small subunit ribosomal RNA
Source: RNAcentral
AACGAACGCUGGCGGCAUGCCUAACACAUGCAAGUCGAACGAGACCUUCGGGUCUAGUGGCGCACGGGUGCGUAACGCGUGGGAACCUGCCCUUAGGUUCGGAAUAACUCCCCGAAAGGGGUGCUAAUACCGGAUAAUGUCUUCGGACCAAAGAUUUAUCGCCUUUGGAUGGGCCCGCGUUGGAUUAGCUAGUUGGUAGGGUAAAAGCCUACCAAGGCGACGAUCCAUAGCUGGUCUGAGAGGAUGAACAGCCACACUGGGACUGAGACACGGCCCAGACUCCUACGGGAGGCAGCAGUGGGGAAUAUUGGUCAAUGGGCGAAAGCCUGAUCCAGCAAUGCCGCGUGAGUGAUGAAGGCCUUAGGGUUGUAAAGCUCUUUUACCCGGGAUGAUAAUGACAGUACCGGGAGAAUAAGCUCCGGCUAACUCCGUG